RNAcentral lists this long non-coding RNA (5288 nucleotides) under Sus scrofa (pig). Its description in RNAcentral is "lncRNA (ENSSSCG00000054371.1)". The record is from RNAcentral. Lineage: Eukaryota; Metazoa; Chordata; Mammalia; Artiodactyla; Suidae.
CAUGUGGAAGUUCCCAGGCCACGAAUCGAGCCUGCACCACAGGGGCAACCCAAGUCACUGCAGUGACAAUGCUGGAUCCGUAACCUGCUGAGCCACGAGGCAACUCCCCAACUUCCAUGUGAAACUAACCUGUUCCUCAAAGAUUCUGUGUACCUUAAAACCAUAUGAAGAGUGAGGUCUAUGAAAAAUCGAGGCCCCUGGGUAGAGACUCAUAACUGAGAUCUGACACCCUUACUUAAAUAUGAAUUUGAUGCUGGCGUGUGACACCGGUGGCAAGAGUCUCAGCUAUGGGGGGGGGCGGGGUACAAAGCAACAGAGGAUGCCCGGGGAGGGUGCGGGGAGGUAAAGGCACACCAUGCUUUGUGCCUCUGCCCUUAACCUGGCGGGGGGCAUCCUUCGCGAGCGCCACAGAGGACAGUCAGGUGCUGUGGCGUUUGAAGCGCCGACCAAAACCAGCCACCUGGGAAGCUGAGUCCAGCCGCAGCUCCCGGGGGGCCUCGCAGCCAGCAAAGCCCCUCACUGAGCUUUCACACCCAUGUCCAACUGCACUACUUCCAAACCCACCAUGGUCCGAGUCAUUUCCAGGGGCAAACCCUGCCGCAAGGCCGUUCACAGCCUUUGUCACAGACCGCCUCGAAAGCUGGGCUGAACGAUGGAUACGGAACAGGACGGCCGUGGGAGCCACCGAAGGGUUUUCGAGCCGGAAGAGGACAGAAUCCAAGUUGGCCUUUAAAGGUGUGAUGUGAGAUCGUGUGGUCGAGGAGAAGGUGCCUGCAGUAAUCCAGCAAGCUGCUGAAGACCUGGACCGGGAAUUUGUGUCUCAACUGGAUUGCAGUGCACACAACGUGACUCGUUCUGACGGCCACUUCUGGGCACAGAGUGGAUUCAAUCACACGCCGUGAGUGAUCCAGGGCCACCGUUGCCCAGGCCAGUCUACACGGCGAUGCAGGGGGCCUGCAGGUGUGUCGGCUCUUUUCACCCAGAUUGCCAUUUCUAGAAUACCUGUGCCAGGGUUUGCUGCUUGGCAGGUGGGUCACGCACACUCUCAGGCUGAGGGCUGUCUGGCUGUGGGCAGGGGGCGCACGUGCUGCCCAUCUCUCGCCUUGGGAUUUGCGCCUUCAAUCCGCUUUGGGCUGGAGCAGCAGCAGGGGAAGGUAAGGGCCGGUUCCUGCCCAGUCGCGAGACCCCAGGCGCGUCCCCGGACAGCUCCGGGCUCGCUUCUUCAUCUGUAAACUGUCCGUCCUCUAACAGCGGGAGCCUCAGGGAUGACCCAGCCGGAGUCCCCGCGUGAGGGCCAACGUCUGAGACGCUCCCCAAGGGCAUGGCGCACCACCUCUGCCACCCUACAUUCAGUUGGUUAGGACAGGUCCCUCUGGCCUCCUGUCUUCGGGGGAAGCUGGCAGGUGGCUGGACUCUAGGUAGGUAAGUUGUCUCUGCUUCUCACCAGCACGCUUCUUCCUAAAGGAACAUCUGGUUGCCUCUGCACGGGCCUUCCUUUCUUCUUGUGAGUCUGGAUGAGGCUCUGGUUUUCCCUGCUUCUCUUGGCUUAUCUCAGACCUAACUCAGAUCACAGUGGGUUUUUUCAGACACUGCACAGAUAUCCCUUCUUAGGCCUCUGAUUAAACUCCAUCUGGCAUCACAAAAGCUGUUUCAAGCCUGGAUUCCUUCUCUAAGGUUAUGUGCCAAAAACCCAUCCAUAAAUUAAUAGUUACGGUAUGUUUAUUAGUUUCCUGGACUUCUAAUAGUAUAUUGAUUCUGGGCAGAAGCUUAGCAUCUGGUUUAGCUAAAGAAUUUAAUUUUCUACAAACCAUACAAUCUAAUCAUAUCAUCUGGUAUUCAAACAAACAUGAAUUGAGUGGCCUUUAAAUGCCGAUGUGUGCACCAGGGCUGCGUUUCUACCAGGCUGCCAUGACAAUAAGGGUGUUAAAAAGAAAAAAGAAGAAAGAUUAAUAGAGUGGAUUUUUAAAAAGGCUUACUACAUUCAGUUUAACUGUCCAUUUUUUUGAGUUUACGCUCUUACUUUCUUUUUCACGUGCGUAAUAAUAUUUUUAAAGAUUAAAAAAAAAAAAAAAAAUACAUUUGAUAAAAUAAAAAUGGACAAUUCUAUCACAGUGUACCAAAUUUUGCAGAACAUUUUACUGAUCCAUGAAAUACAAAAGACAGGUUAAGGAACAUUCAGUGAUUUUUAAAAGCUGGGCCAAAAGACGGCUUCCCUCGCAGACUCUGAAAUGGAAGCAGACCAGCGUGGACUCGCUCAGCAGGAAGAGACCAGGAGGGAUCGGAUUCCUGACACCACCCCGCCCCCCCCCCCAGGCCCCCCAUUCCAAGGUCUUCGCAUUUCUGAGAGAGCUUUCCACAAACAAACGAACAAUUACUGCCUUCCCGUCAGCAUGGGGCGGCAUUCUGACCUUCAGCUUCCUUGGGAAAAUAACCAAGAGCCCUUUCAUCCCAGGCCCCCCGCCGGCCUCCGAGGUUGCACUUGGGGUGUGCCUUCCACCUGCGACCACCUGCUGCCUUUCAGGGCUGCGCCCGCCCGGAGCCUUUGCUUCCUUUCCUCCUGAAAGCACAGGAAGGGAAGAAGCAGGACUGGUCAAGGGGCCUCCGGCACUUGGAGGGCCUCUCGCUGAGCACGGCUGGGCGUCGGCGAGUUCCACCCAGAGCCCCUCCAGGCUCCUCGGUUAAAGCCUUUAAACAUGACCCGAGCCCCAUGGGGAGGUUCAGGCUCCGCCUCACUCCCACCUCCCUGGACAGCCCGGCCUCCCGUCCUGUUUCAGGCGGCUCAUCCUCCUCCCGGGCGCCCGGCCCUCAGUUCCAAAAGCUUCUUCGGGGAGUCGUCAAAGCUUCGAAGCCUCGCGUACGCAGAGCCCCCCCCCCCCGCCCCCAACCUCUGGGCGAGUGACUCUGGUCCCACCCACGACCUUCGACACCACACGACCACCAGCUUCCAGGCUGGCCUGAGGCAGAAGCUGGAAAGCCGGCUGAGGGCGAUGAGAGGGCGCGUGCAGCGUUGUGCACUGAGCAAUAAAUCCAACGUCUUUCCAGGUCGGUCCGUAUCAGGCCAGCCCCGGCUUUGAAGGGGUGAACGGCGUUGGCGCGCUUCCUGGGGUCACACCCUAAUUUAAGCUUUCUGCUGCUGGCGGCCGCUCAGGCUAUUCCUGUUUUUCCUCCUUUGCAAACAGUGGCGAGACAACCCCCCUUUUACGGCCUCCCCCCACUUGUACCUCUGCUCACAGAAGGGGCACUGGACAGGGCACACAGCUGGGCCGGGGCACAUCUGGGAGGCACGUUCCCUCCCCCAGCAGGGGACUGGCACCCUUUUUGCCAACUGGCUUUGUCAGUCCUUGUUUCCGUUUCUGUUUCUCUAGUGAAUGGGGACGGAGAAUAUGUUUAAAGGCUGUACUUCUUUACCCGCAGGGCUGACUAUUCUUUGCCCGAAUUCCACCUGGAGAAACUGGGCACGUCUAAAGGGGAGAGUCGAGCUCUUUACACGUGAACGUAUCAGCCCCUCCUGUGCACAGACCUUCCCCUUCCUCAUUUAACGCGGACUGACCAUCGAGGCCCGGCCCUGGCGGGACCUGGUGGAUCCCCCUGCAGGUUGUCAUCUCGGUAGAUCCGCAGAGCGACGCUGCGGGGAAGGCCCCCGUUCUGUCACACGCGAGACGGGGGUCCAGCAAGGUGAGUGGGAAAGCCGAGCGUCGUCUCCACGCUUGCUGUCAGGCCUGUGUUCUCUCCCUACGCCAUUCGAACCCUCCAGAGCAAAGCCCCCUCAUGUGGCCUUUAAGGUGGUUUCUGAUAGAAAGAGAGUGAUGGGGGUGUGAGGAGAACAAAGACACAGGUGGGGAGGGGGUGGCAUCUCCUCUCUUUAUGAUCAAAAUGUGUCACUUGUUGACAGAGGCAGGUCACGUGUGGCCUCUCAUCACAGGUUUCAAGCCCAAGGCUCUAGACCUUUGCUGGACACUCCUAGCAGCCACGUGACAUUCCUAACAACCGGGUCCCAUGGUUCGGUUCGGAGGGACGGAUUAGAGCAUCAUAAGAUACAGGGCUGUGUGUGUAACUUUAAAAAACCCCAAUUCCUGGGCACCACCCUGAGACAUUCCAGCAUAACUGGCCUGGGAAUCACCAUCUGGGGCAGCUUCUCACUGGCAGCCCUGGUUGAGACCCACUGUCCGCAAACACCUCAGCCACCCUGUUUAGCUUCACUGAAAGUCCACGUUUCCCAGCCGCGGCGGAGGCCCGAAAGGGAAGGUGACUUGCUGAGCUCGCACUGCUGCUGAGAGGCACGCUGGGACCGAGUGCACACCUGACGGGCCCUGGGCCCCUCCAUCACACUGAAAGCCUGUGGAGCAGCCACCGAUCUGCCUUUCAAAGGCAGUUCAGGCCAUGGUAUCAUCUGCGGGUACAGAUGUGCUCGUAACUUAAGACGGCCUUCGCGACGGCAGCUUGAGCUGUUGGCGUCAGGCCUGCUCCUCUGCGUGCUUUGCUCCCAGGCUGUCCUCCAAGCGAGGCCUCACCUUCCCUGACGGUCACCUGGUUUCCUCUGCCCACGACCAUGGUGAGUUCCCUGCACAUCCAGUUCAAACCGUCUCUCUCCCGAGCAUCACCUUCACGCUGGUCUCGUUGCUGGUGUCGAGCACGGGGGCCUCCCCUCCUGGUCCUUGGCGCAGACGUGGGUCUUCACUUGUGUUGGUAACAAAGAGUUAAUGGCAGCCUCCGCCCACCCACCCCUCGCCACUGCUGCCGCUCCACGACACCAGGGACCACCUGGCCUUUGUCCACCACGAGAGGGCACCCAGACAAAGCGUUUGGGGCAGAACUCUCUUGAAACUCGCCUUCCAACCUCCAGAGUUUUACAGACCAGAGAACCCAGGCCCAGGGAGGCCCAGCCCUGCCCUGCCCAGGGGCACACCAGGAAUUUGCGGCUGACCCGCAUUCAGCUUUCAGAGCAGCGGGCCUCUCGGCUGUGGGCCCACAGCCACUUCUAUGCCACGGCUCCUUAGUGCACUGCUCGCGGCAGCAGACUAAAGAGCGCUCCAAGGUCAAGGGUGUUUCUGGGGCGGAACGUGAGCGUUUUCUUGAUGCAGCCUGCUUUCUCGUAGGGUUAUGCCGAUUUUCCUCCAAAUUAAAAUCAAAGGUCUGCACUACAGAAAGGAUAACAUUUGGUGGUUGAAUCCCUAUGAAUACAGAAAGCAGCAAACUGGAAUCAAACUGAAGGCUGAGCGGUUGGGGUACCUGAGUGUUUGAACGGCUGGAACUGGCAUUAUUUUCCCAUGUGACUCCAUCCCUCCCCA